AUAGUUGCCUGGCAGAGAGGAUACCAUGAUGGAGUAGGUGGUUUUCUUAGGGUGAGGUUCAUCUAUGGCACUCGGGGCAUGCUGACUCCUCUCAUUUCCCCAUGUGGGGCAAACGUUGACUGUAAAGUUUGUGGUAGCGAGGGACUGUGUUGACCCUUU
This is a small nuclear RNA of Arvicanthis niloticus (Nile rat), 159 nucleotides long. RefSeq annotates it as U1 spliceosomal RNA. Lineage: Eukaryota; Metazoa; Chordata; Mammalia; Rodentia; Muridae. The record is from RefSeq and is a predicted model, not a curated record.